RNAcentral lists this transfer RNA (66 nucleotides) under Coleoptera sp. UPOL MT0078. RNAcentral describes it as "tRNA-Phe". The record is from RNAcentral. Lineage: Eukaryota; Metazoa; Arthropoda; Insecta; Coleoptera.
AUUUUAAUAGCUUAUUUAGAGCAUAAUAUUGAAGAUAUUAAGGUAAUAGUUUUAUUUUAAAAUAUU